Molecule: long non-coding RNA, 687 nt
Filed under: Physcomitrium patens
Lineage: Eukaryota; Viridiplantae; Streptophyta; Bryopsida; Funariales; Funariaceae
Description: long non-coding RNA (PPAT_LNC007825)
Source: RNAcentral
CAUAUUUAACAGUUUAUCCAGUAUGAUAACUUUGGCAUAUAGAAUUCGAAACAGACAGCGGAAGAAUUGUGCAAUGAUCUCAUAACUACUAAAUCUCUGCAGUGGUCAAAAGCCGAGAUACAUUGGAGGGAUUGUUCUCGCACAAACCACAGUGAACAUAUAUGCUCAAAACUUUAUCAAACUUGUUCGAUUGCUUUUUACUCAUGAAAUUGGUUGGAAUUUUGAUUCUGGGGUGUCAGUUUCAAAAUCACCCCAAGAUCAGUGCAGCGCCGAGUCGUGGAUGGAGAUGUGAGAUGACCCACCUGAAGAAAAAUAAACUCGGUGAACCGACCUGAAUUAGUUGCUUUGCAGAACGAAUUGAAAUCGAACUGGUGUGAUCACAAUGACAGUGGGUAAGACCCUUCUCUCUCUCUCGCUGUAAGGUAACAUAAGUUUAAAUUCCUGGGGCAUUCAUCCUCAUUCGUAGCUUUUCUCUCAGAACCCCUAAAACCACAGCAUUAAGGUUUAUUCUGACAAAACCGUGUUCUCAAUGAAGUCGUAAAAUGCUGAAUCCACGACUCGAAGUACCUCAAGGGACUAGAUGUUAACCGAUAAAAAUAGUUUCCACCCAUUUCAUCCACCUCACCUGGUACAUUUAGGCCGCUUUGAGCAAAAGCAUCGAUUGGUGAUAUCCAGUCGCUGAAGCAG